This is a long non-coding RNA of Priapulus caudatus, 131 nucleotides long. RefSeq lists it as uncharacterized. The transcript is spliced from 3 exons. The record is from RefSeq and is a predicted model, not a curated record. NCBI's taxonomy places the organism in Eukaryota, Metazoa, Priapulida, Priapulimorpha, Priapulimorphida, Priapulidae.
CCAGCACCUACCGGAAGUCGCCACGGUGGUGCUGGAUAAAUGCCACACAACAGCAGACGCCGAAGAUGCUAAAGCGGAAAAUUUCUACCACAAGUACGACUUCCGGUAUAUGCAGAGCCCUCUGGCGUCUC